GCGCACACACCUAUAACGUAAUUGUGUGAGGCUAUUGUAGUGGAGUGACGAGUGUAAUUGUAUCAUAGUUUAUGGAGAAAAACAAUUUAACAGGGACAUUCGACGUGCUGUCAAAGCGUUCUUUGGCCCGCUGUCCAAAGAACAUAGAAAACGAUACGGAAUGCGAUCAUCUCAUGUGCGGUGGCGCCACAAAGUGGAUUGCAGAAGUUAACUCAGCAGCAUGGACGCGUUCCAGGCAGUUGCUGCGACCGCAAGGGGUCCAUGUGGAACUGACUCACCUUAAGCAACACGCAAUACGGUGGACACGAAUGAAAAAACGCACAACUAAGCAAGGGGGAACCUGGACAGAUCCAUCAGGCAACGACAAAGAUGGAACUGGAAGAAGGGUUUCAUGUUCUGGCCUUUAAAAUAAAAGGCAAACACGUGGAGCUUGUCAACGUGAACAAUGCCAUCAAAACGGUUCCUUUGGAUGAGUGGAACCAAAGAUUCCCAGAGGGCCCUAAUUUUCCCCCAGAGGGGUUUUUGUGGUAAUUUUGUUUGAAAUUUUGUUCUAUUGUUUGUAUUUCUUGUUACUUCUUUGUUCUGUUUAAU
Long non-coding RNA from Syngnathus typhle (broad-nosed pipefish), 591 nucleotides. RefSeq lists it as uncharacterized. The transcript is spliced from 3 exons. NCBI's taxonomy places the organism in Eukaryota, Metazoa, Chordata, Actinopteri, Syngnathiformes, Syngnathidae. The record is from RefSeq and is a predicted model, not a curated record.